Molecule: ribosomal RNA, 253 nt
Filed under: uncultured bacterium
Lineage: Bacteria
Description: partial 16S ribosomal RNA
Rfam family: Bacterial small subunit ribosomal RNA
Source: RNAcentral
UACGAAGGGGGCUAGCGUUGCUCGGAAUCACUGGGCGUAAAGGGUGCGUAGGCGGGUCUUUAAGUCAGGGGUGAAAUCCUGGAGCUCAACUCCAGAACUGCCUUUGAUACUGAAGAUCUUGAGUUCGGGAGAGGUGAGUGGAACUGCGAGUGUAGAGGUGAAAUUCGUAGAUAUUCGCAAGAACACCAGUGGCGAAGGCGGCGACCUGGGCCAAUACUGACACUGAGGUGCGAAAGCGUGGGGAGCAAACAGG